This 496-nucleotide ribosomal RNA is filed under the name uncultured bacterium. RNAcentral describes it as "partial 16S ribosomal RNA". It matches the Rfam family "Bacterial small subunit ribosomal RNA", at positions 28 to 507 of the family's 1533-position model. The record is from RNAcentral.
GAUGAACGCUGGCGGCGUGCCUAAUACAUGCAAGUCGAGCGAACAGACGAGGAGCUUGCUCCUCUGACGUUAGCGGCGGACGGGUGAGUAACACGUGGAUAACCUACCUAUAAGACUGGGAUAACUUCGGGAAACCGGAGCUAAUACCGGAUAAUAUAUUGAACCGCAUGGUUAAUAGUGAAAGACGGUUUUGCUGUCACUUAUAGAUGGAUCCGCGCCGCAUUAGCUAGUUGGUAAGGUAACGGCUUACCAAGGAGACGAUGCGUAGCCGACCCGAGAGGGAGAUCGGCCACACUGGAACUGAGACACGGUACAGACUCCUACAGGAGGACGCAGUAGGGACUCUUACGCGAUGGGCGAAAGCCUGACGGAGCAAAGCCGCGUGAGUGAUGAAGGUCUUCUGAUCGUAAAACUCUGUUAUUAGGGAAGAACAAAUGUGUAAGUAACUAUGCACGUCUUGACGGUACCUAAUCAGAAAGCCACGGCUAACUACGUG